UUAAUUGAAACCAAAAAGAGGUCUAUCACUGUUAAUGAUAAAAAUGAAUAAUUCUAAAAUUCCAAUUAAA
Molecule: transfer RNA, 70 nt
Filed under: Polypedilum heberti
Lineage: Eukaryota; Metazoa; Arthropoda; Insecta; Diptera; Chironomidae
Description: tRNA-Asn
Source: RNAcentral